This 334-nucleotide unclassified non-coding RNA is filed under the name soil metagenome. RNAcentral describes it as "partial contains 5.8S ribosomal RNA, internal transcribed spacer 2, and large subunit ribosomal RNA". The stretch from base 1 to 120 matches the Rfam family "5.8S ribosomal RNA", at positions 35 to 154 of the family's 154-position model. The record is from RNAcentral.
GAUGAAGAACGCAGUGAAAUGCGAUACGUAAUGUGAAUUGCAGAAUUCAGUGAAUCAUCGAAUCUUUGAACGCACAUUGCACCCGCCAGCACUCUGGCGGGCAUGCCUGUUCGAGCGUCAUUUCAACCAUCAAGCCCCAGGCUUGCGUUGGAGCCCUGCGGCUGCCGCAGCCUCCUAAAAGCAGUGGCGGGCUCGCUAUCACACCGAGUGCAGUAGAUUACUCUUCGCUCAGGGCGUGCAGCGGGUUCCGGCCGUGAAACCCCCUACUUUUAAAGGUUGACCUCGGAUCAGGUAGGAAUACCCGCUGAACUUAAGCAUAUCAAUAAGCGGAGGA